This 620-nucleotide ribosomal RNA is filed under the name Paranillochlamys catalonicus. RNAcentral describes it as "partial 16S ribosomal RNA". It matches the Rfam family "Bacterial large subunit ribosomal RNA", at positions 1819 to 2748 of the family's 2925-position model. The record is from RNAcentral. Lineage: Eukaryota; Metazoa; Arthropoda; Insecta; Coleoptera; Leiodidae.
GUCUUAUUGAUUAUAAUUUUAAGUCUGAUCUGCCCAGUGAAUUUUAAAUGGCUGCAGUAUUUUAACUGUACAAAGGUAGCAUAAUAAUUAGUUUCUUAAUUAGGAGCUGGAAUGAAAGAUUGAACGAGAUAAUGACUGUCUUAGACUAAAUUAAAGAAUUUUAUUUUUAAGUUAAAAAGCUUAAAUUUUUUUAAAAGACGAGAAGACCCUAUAGAAUUUUAUUUGAUUAUGAAAUUUAAAUUUUAGUAAUUGAAUUUUAAGUUUUUAUAGGAGAAUUUAAUUGGGGUGAUUAAAAAAUUUAUAAAACUUUUUUUUAUAUUCUAACAUAAAUUUAUGAAUUAUUGAUCCAAUAUUAUUGAUUAUAAGAUUAAAUUACCUUAGGGAUAACAGCGUAAUUUUUUUAGAGAGUUCUUAUCGAUAAAAGAGAUUGCGACCUCGAUGUUGGAUUAAAAUUAAUUUUUAAUGUAGAAGUUAAAAUAUUAGGUCUGUUCGACCUUUAGAAUUUUACAUGAUCUGAGUUUAAAUCGGCGUGAGCCAGGUUGGAUUCUAUCUUUAAUUAAGUUAAAUAUUUUAGUACGAAAGGACCAGAUAUUUAUUAUAAUAAUUUUUAUAGAAUAUUA